Long non-coding RNA from Austrofundulus limnaeus, 1134 nucleotides. RefSeq lists it as uncharacterized. The record is from RefSeq and is a predicted model, not a curated record. NCBI's taxonomy places the organism in Eukaryota, Metazoa, Chordata, Actinopteri, Cyprinodontiformes, Rivulidae. The transcript is spliced from 2 exons.
CCCUUCUCAGUUUAAUUUAAGUGUUACCAGUCUGUCUCUAAACAGUCUCAGUUUAGUUUAGGUGUCUCCAGUCUGUCUCUAAAUAGUCUCAGUUUUAUUUAGGUGUCUCCAAUCUGUCUCUAAACAGUCUCAGUUUAGUUUAGGUGUCUCCAGUCUGUCUCUAAAUAGUCUCAGUUUUGUUUAGGUGUCUCCAAUCUGUCUCUAAACAGUCUCAGUUUAGUUUAGGUGUCUCCAGUCUGUCUCUAAACAGUCUCAGUUUAAUUUGGGUGUCUCCAAUUUGUCUCUAAAUAGUCUAAGUUUAGUUUAGAUCUCUCCAAUCUGUCUCUAAACAGUCUCAGUUUAAUUUGGGUGUCUCCAAUCUGUCUCUAAAUAGUCUCAGUUUAGUUUAGGUGUCUCCAAUCUGUCUCUAAACAGUCUCAGUUUAGUUUAAGUGUCUCCAAUCUGUCUCUAAACAGUCUCAGUUUAAUUUGGGCAUCUCCAAUAUGUCUCUAAACAGCCUCAGUUUAGUUUAGGUGUCUCCAAUCUGUCUCUUAACAGUCUCAGUUUAGUUUAGGUGUCUCCAGUCUGUCUCUACACAGUCUCAGUUUAGUUUAGGUGUCUCCAGUCUGUCUCUAAACAGUCUCAGUUUAAUUUCAGUAUGUCCAAUAUGUCUCUAAACAGUCUCAGUUUAGUUUAGGUGUCUCAGAUCMGUCUCUAAACAGUCUCAGUUUAAUUUGGGUGUCUCCAAUAUGUCUCUAAACAGUCUCAGUUUAGUUUAGGUGUCUCCAAUUUGUCUCUAAACAGUCUCAGUUUAAUUUAGGUGUCUCCAAUCUGUCUCUAAACAGUCUCGGUUUAAUUAAGUUGCCUCCAAUAUGUCUGUAAACAGUCUCAGUUUAAUUUGGGUGUCUCCAAUCUGUCUCUAAACAGUCUCAGUUUAUUUUGGGGGUCUCCAAUCUGUCUCUAAACAGUUUCAGUUAUUUUGGUGGUCUACAACAGCCUCAUUUAGUUUAGGGGUCUCCAACUUGUCUCCGUUUCAUUGCAGGGGUCUUUAACAUGUCUCACUUUAGUUGUGGGAUCUCAAAGCUUUAGAUCAGCUUUUUGACUUGUUUGCUCUCCUCUGGCAGAAAAUCUCCAGGUCUAAAAACCAAACCAACA